AUUGAACGCUGGCGGAAUGCUUUACACAUGCAAGUCGAACGGCAGCACGGGGGCAACCCUGGUGGCGAGUGGCGAACGGGUGAGUAAUACAUCGGAACGUGCCCGGUCGUGGGGGAUAACGUAGCGAAAGUUACGCUAAUACCGCAUACGAUCUGAGGAUGAAAGCGGGGGACCUUCGGGCCUCGCGCGAUCGGAGCGGCCGAUGUCAGAUUAGGUAGUUGGUGGGGUAAAGGCCUACCAGGCCGACGAUCUGUAGCUGGUCUGAGAGGACGACCAGCCACACUGGGACUGAGACACGGCCCAGACUCCUACGGGAGGCAGCAGUGGGGAAUUUUGGACAAUGGGCGCAAGCCUGAUCCAGCCAUUCCGCGUGCAGGACGAAGGCCUUCGGGUUGUAAACUGCUUUUGUAUGGAACGAAAAGGCUCUGGCUAAUACCUGGGGCUCAUGACGGUACCGUAAGAAUAAGCACCGGCUAACUACGU
Molecule: ribosomal RNA, 483 nt
Filed under: uncultured bacterium
Lineage: Bacteria
Description: partial 16S ribosomal RNA
Rfam family: Bacterial small subunit ribosomal RNA
Source: RNAcentral